GGGUAAAGCUCAAAGGGGAGUGUCUGCUUAGCAUGCACAAGGUCCUGGGUUCAAUCCCCAGUACUUCCA
Molecule: transfer RNA, 69 nt
Filed under: Camelus dromedarius (Arabian camel)
Lineage: Eukaryota; Metazoa; Chordata; Mammalia; Artiodactyla; Camelidae
Also listed under: 1 other name
Rfam family: tRNA
About the family: Transfer RNA (tRNA) molecules are approximately 80 nucleotides in length. Their secondary structure includes four short double-helical elements and three loops (D, anti-codon, and T loops).
Source: Rfam by way of RNAcentral